This is a long non-coding RNA of Papio anubis (olive baboon), 4469 nucleotides long. Lineage: Eukaryota; Metazoa; Chordata; Mammalia; Primates; Cercopithecidae. The record is from Ensembl.
AAAGAACAGGCAUUGAGAAUGCCGAUGUAGAUAACGAAGGCCUUCGAAAUAUUCUGCAUUACUUGUUUGAAUAUUUCCAAAAAACCUAAAUUUCCUUUUGAUUAUCCCAAUAUCUUUUCAUUUUUUAUUUAUUUAUUUAUUCUUUUUUUUUUUUUUUUGAGACAGGGUAUGCCUCUGUCGCCCAAGAUGGAGUGCAGUGGUGUGAUACUGACUCACUGCAACCUCUGCUUCCCGGGCUCAAGCGAUCCUCCUGCCUCAGCCUCCCAAGUAGUUGGUACUACAGGCCUGAUCCACCACACCUGACUAAUUUUUGUAUUUUUUUUUUGUAGAGAUGGGGCUUCACCAUGUUGCCCAGGAUUGUCUUGAACUCGUGAGCUCAAGCAAUCUGCCUGCCUUGGCCUCCCAAAGUGCUAGGAUUACAGACAGAGUCUCACUCUGUUGCCCAGGCUGGAGUACAAUGGCAGGAUCUCAGCUCUCACUGCAAACUCUGCCUCCCUGGUUCAAGCAAUUCUCCUGCCUCAGCCUCCCUAGUAGCUGGGAUUACAGAUGGAGUUUCACCAUGUUGGCCAAGCUGGUCUUGAACUCCUCACCUCUGGUGAUCUGCCUUCCUCAACCUCCUAAAGUGCUGGGAUUACAAGCGUGAGCCCCCGCGACCAACCAUGAACUUCUGUUUCUGUUUCUCAAAUAAUUUCUCUUGGGACAAUCACUGUUAAAAGUUUCUUGUACAUGCACAAUUAUUUAUGUGUAUGUAUGUGUGUACAUACAUAUAUAAACCCCCUUUUUAUUACACAUUUAAGCUGUAUAGAUUGUUCUCCACCUUUCUUUUCUCCUUGACAAUUAUUUCAUAUCAGUGUGUACAGAUACACCUGACAUAUUUAACCACAUGUCAUAUUUUAUUACAUGAAGGAGCUAUAACUAAUUUCAUAUUGUGAAAUUGAAAGAUUCUUUUUAUUUUGGUUUGUUUUACUAUUUCAUCCAUUGAGUCUUCUGCUAGUUUGUUUCUAGAUAAAAUGCUACAACAAAUAUUCUCCUAUGUCUUCCUAAGCACAUCUGCAGGUGUGUCUACAGAAUAAAUUUCUGAAAGUAAAAUUGCUGGGACAGAGGAUAUAUAAUUUUUUGUUUUAAUAAAUGUUAAACACCGUCUUUCAAAGGAAUCACGACAAUUUUCUAUUGCAGCACCGAUGUGUGAACGUUUCUAUUUUCCAACGAUCUUUGUUUUUUUUUGUUUGUUUGUUUGUUUUUUUUUUUUUUUUUUUUUUGAGACAGAGCCUCAGUCUGUUGCCCAGGCUGGAGUGCAGUGGCACAAUCUAGGCUCACUGCAACUCACUAAUGGUUUCUCUUCUUUGUAUAUACUUGACCCAGUUCUGAUUUGACAUAUUUAAGCAGAUAAUCUUAGAGAGUAUAAUGUUACUGAUAUUUAGAUAAGUGAAAUCUUUCAGAGUGAAAUGCAGCUAGCAAACAUCCUUCCUAUUUUUGAAUUGACUCUCAUCACCAUUUGAAACAAUGUAAUUAUUUUAAAGUUUAUCAUCAACAGAGUUGAUGUUUCCAAGUUAACUUUACUGUCAUGUAAUUAGUCAUAUUAAACUGUUUUUGUGUAAACAAGCAAAAAUGUGCACAUAUUAACUAUAACUCUUAGGUGUUACAGAAAAUUAAAUUUGUGUGUCAAAAUAAUUAUUAUUGGCUAGGCGUGGUGCCUCACGCCUGUAAUCCCAGCACUUUGGGAGGCUGAGGCAAACAGAUCACAAGGUCAAGAGAUCUAGACCAUCCUGGCCAACAUGGUGAAACACUGUCUCUACUAAAAUUACAAAAAUUAGCUGGUCAUGGUGGCCCGUGCCUGUAGUCCCAGCUAUUCGGGAGGCUGAGGCAGGGAAAUCGCUUGAACCUGGGAGGUGGAGGUUGCAGUGAGCCAAUAUUGCACCACUGCACUCCAGCCUGCUGAAAGAGCGAGACUCCGUCUCAAAAAAUAAAAAUGAAAAUAAAAAUAAAAAUAAAAAAUUGGCUAGGCAUGGUGGCUCACUCCUGUAAUCCCAGCACUUUGGGAGGCUGAGGUGAGUGAAUCAUGAGGUCAGGAGAUCAAGACCAUCCUGGCUAACACAUUGAAACCUCAUCUCUAGUAAAAAUACAAAAACAAAUCAGCCCGGCGUGGCAGUGGGUGCCUGUAGUCCUAGCUCCUCGGGAGGCUGGGAUCAAGACCAUCCUGGCUAACACAUUGAAACCCCAUCUCUACUAAAAAUACAAAAAAAAAUUAGCCGGGCGUGGUGGCGGGCCCCUGUAGUCCCAGUUACUCAGGAGGCUGAGACAGGAGAAUGGCAUGAACCCGGGAGGCAGAGCUUGCAGUGAGCUGAGAUUGUGCCACUUCACUCCAGCCUGGGCAACAGAGCAAGACUCUGUCUCAAAAAAUAAAUAAAUAACUAAAUAAUAAAAAAUAUUAUUUAGUUCUAGUCUUUGGUGCUAUUUAUUAAAAAGUAUAAAGUGUAUGUUAUAAUCCUAGCUAUUAAUGUUAAUAUUGAAGAUUGAAAUGAAGAGAAUAAAGGUAGAAGACUUUUUUAAAAAUUGAUUUCCCUUUCUCCUUAUCUUUCUUUACAAUACAUUUAACUUACAAAAGAUAUGAGAUAGCUCACACCAAAUUAUAUAAUAUUAUAAUUGAAAUGGAACUUACACAUCAUCUGCCCUAAUAAAAUCAUUUUACAGAUGAAGAAAUUGAGGCCAAGAGGCCACUGAUUUGAUUAUAUGAUACUCAUUGUGCUUCUACCUUGAGAAAAUAGGCAUACUGUGGCACAGAGUAACAUUCUGGGGAGCAGCUUUCCUCAUAAUGGCAAAUCUAGGAUUUAUGGUUUCUUAUCUUAGUCCAUUUUGUGCUGCUAUGACAGAAUAGCACAGACUGGGCAAUCUAUAAAGAAUAGAAAUUCUUUUAGUUCUGGAGGCUGUAAGUACAAGAACAGACACUGGCAUCUGGUGUCUAGUGAGGGCCUCCUUGCUGCAUCCUCACUUGGCAGAAGAGCAAAAGAGAGUAAACCCAACCUGAAAUCUUUUUUAAUAAUGGCAUUAAUUCAUUCAUGACAGUGGGUUCCUCAUGACCUAAACAGCUCUCUUUAGGCCCCACUUCCCAACACUGUUGCAUCACAGAUUAGGUUUCUAAAACAUGAAUUUUGGGGGGACACAUUCAAACUGUUGUCCACCUCAAUUUUCUAUAGUUUGGAGGCUCUCUGUAUGAAUAAGAGCAUCUUAAUUUGCAAAUAUAACCAAAAACAUGCUAAAUAGAAUUUAAUUGGGAGGCCAUUAGGCUGAGAUAGCUCAGCACCUUGGGAUGCUAAAUGAGCAAACUGAAGAACAACGUACACAGUAAAACAAAACUUAAGCUUUACCAAUUAGAAACUUCCAACUACACUUUAGGGACUUUCCACUUUAACCAAUCAAAUAUCUUCAUUUUGCUUCCAUGAAUACCUUAUAAAAGUUUUCCUUUUGCCCCCACCCCUACCCUCAUUGAAGUGCUCAACCACUUGUGGUCUGUUGCUGCCCAGUUUAUGAAUUGCUAUCUGCUCAAAUAAACUCACUGAAACUUUAAUGUACCUAAGUGUACCUUUUAACACACAUGAUCAUGGCAUUGCUAAAGACUGCCAAAGACCCUUGGGGGGCCAGUGCACAUACACAAGAGAAAGCUCUCACUCUACCCUUUCUUGGCUUCAUGGUAAAUUCACCUCCGCUUCAUAGCAUUUCUUUAAACACAAGUUUAAUUUUCUUUAGCAUCUGAGAGAUAGUAUCAGCAAUGUCAUUUUUGAGGUUCUUCCUACAUAAGCUCGGGACUUUUGUUGUAAUUACCCACAGAAAUUCUCCUAAGCAUAAUCUAGAUAUGAAUUUUUAUUUUAGAUGUUCUUAAAGAAUUCUCCAAAGUCCUAGUCUAUAGGCAAGACUUCAUUGAGAGAAACUAUGCCUAUUCAUUCCAUUCAAGAUCUUGCCCUCUUUUAGGUUAUUUUAUCUAGAACUCUUCAAUGUAAAAUGGAGGUAGUCCCCAGUUGGUGACAUGUUCACAUACCCAUUCAUCAAGCUGAUGUCUCUCCUAUUCAUUUCCAUCUUCCAGAGAGGCAGGGCUACCUGAACAAAUAGCACUAAAUCCCAUUAGUACUACUUUUUACUCCAUAAUAACAUCUGCAGUGAAUUUAGCUUCCACUGACAUGCAGGAUGAUAUAUGAGUCAUUGAACAGCAGAAAGAUAUGCUCCUGGCUUCUGUGUAGAGAAGAUGACUUUAAAUCCUGGGGUUAGCUAUUUCCUCUUCUGUAGGAGAAAAAUGAGUGGACACACAAGGAAUGAAUAAUCCCCAUCUAUUUUCAGUUCUAACAGUGGAGAUUAUACACACACACGAACUCACACAUACACACAUAAAGAGAGAGCUUUCAAUACAUCAGCAAGAAGAGCAGAGCAAUUUUCACUGAUUGUAAGUAAAUAUGUCCCAUUGUUGGAAGUGUUGUUCU